RNAcentral lists this ribosomal RNA (310 nucleotides) under uncultured eukaryote. Its description in RNAcentral is "partial large subunit ribosomal RNA". It matches the Rfam family "Eukaryotic large subunit ribosomal RNA", at positions 40 to 350 of the family's 3401-position model. The record is from RNAcentral.
AUAUAAGUAAGCGGUGGAAAAUAUAUUAAACAAUAUUUCCUUAGUAAUGGCGAAUGAACAGGGAAGUGCUUGGCUUUUAAACUGAAGCCUCGGCUUUGGAUUGUAGCCUCUAAACAAAAUGCCAACAAAGGCGCAAGAGUAAGCCUCUUGGAAAAGAGCAUCAAUGUGGGUGAGAAUCCUGUAUUCCUCUUGCAGCCCAUUGUGCACGGCAUUUGCUUUCAGAGUCGCGUUCCUCGGAAGUGGAGCGUAAAGUGGGUGGUAAAUUUCAUCUAAAGCUAAAUAUGAGCUUGAGACCGAUAGCGCACAAGUA